This 116-nucleotide ribosomal RNA is filed under the name Neogale vison (American mink). The record is from RNAcentral. Lineage: Eukaryota; Metazoa; Chordata; Mammalia; Carnivora; Mustelidae.
GUCUACAGUCAUACCACCCUGAACGCACUCAAUCUCGUCUGAUCUCGGAAGCUAAGUAGGGUCGGGCCUGGUUAGUACUUGGAUGGGGGAAGAUCAUUCUGGUGGUAUGGUAGGAA